Molecule: ribosomal RNA, 499 nt
Filed under: uncultured bacterium
Lineage: Bacteria
Description: partial 16S ribosomal RNA
Rfam family: Bacterial small subunit ribosomal RNA
Source: RNAcentral
ACUCAAAUGAAUUGACGGGGGCCCGCACAAGCGGUGGAGCAUGUGGUUUAAUUCGACGCAACGCGAAGAACCUUACCUACCCUUGACAUCCUAGGAAUCUUGCAGAGAUGCGGGAGUGCCGAAAGGAACCUAGAGACAGGUGCUGCAUGGCUGUCGUCAGCUCGUGUUGUGAGAUGUUGGGUUAAGUCCCGUAACGAGCGCAACCCUUAUCCUUAGUUGCCAACAUGUAAUGGUGGGGACUCUAAGGAGACUGCCGGUGAAGAACCGGAGGAAGGUGGGGACGACGUCAAGUCAUCAUGGCCUUUAUGGGUAGGGCUACACACGUGCUACAAUGGGGCGUACAGAGGGAAGCGAACUCGCGAGAGGGAGCGAAUCCUAGAAAGCGCCUCGUAGUCCGGAUUGAAGUCUGCAACUCGACUUCAUGAAGUUGGAAUCGCUAGUAAUCGCGAAUCAGAACGUCGCGGUGAAUACGUUCCCGGGCCUUGUACACACCGCCCGU